RNAcentral lists this ribosomal RNA (819 nucleotides) under uncultured bacterium. RNAcentral describes it as "bacterial SSU rRNA". It matches the Rfam family "Bacterial small subunit ribosomal RNA", at positions 28 to 896 of the family's 1533-position model. The record is from RNAcentral.
AACGAACGCUGGCGGCAGGCUUAACACAUGCAAGUCGAACGCCCCGCAAGGGGAGUGGCAGACGGGUGAGUAACGCGUGGGAACGUGCCCUUCGGUUCGGAAUAACUCAGGGAAACUUGAGCCAAUACCGGAUACGUGCGAGAGCAGAAAGAUUUAUCGCCGAAGGAUCGGCCCGCGUCCGAUUAGCUAGUUGGUGAGGUAACGGCUCACCAAGGCGACGAUCGGUAGCUGGUCUGAGAGGAUGAUCAGCCACAUUGGGACUGAGACACGGCCCAAACUCCUACGGGAGGCAGCAGUGGGGAAUAUUGGACAAUGGGCGCAAGCCUGAUCCAGCCAUGCCGCGUGAGUGAUGAAGGCCUUAGGGUUGUAAAGCUCUUUCGCCAGGGACGAUAAUGACGGUACCUGGAUAAGAAGCCCCGGCUAACUUCGUGCCAGCAGCCGCGGUAAUACGAAGGGGGCUAGCGUUGUUCGGAUUUACUGGGCGUAAAGCGCACGUAGGCGGAUUUUUAAGUCAGGGGUGAAAUCCCGAGGCUCAACCUCGGAACUGCCCUUGAUACUGGAAGUCUCGAGUCCGGGAGAGGUGAGUGGAACUGCGAGUGUAGAGGUGAAAUUCGUAGAUAUUCGCAAGAACACCAGUGGCGAAGGCGGCUCACUGGCCCGGUACUGACGCUGAGGUGCGAAAGCGUGGGGAGCAAACAGGAUUAGAUACCCUGGUAGUCCACGCCGUAAACGAUGGAUGCUAGCCGUUGGGGAGCUUGCUCUUCAGUGGCGCAGCUAACGCUUUAAGCAUCCCGCCUGUGGAGUACGGUCGCAAGAUUA